Molecule: ribosomal RNA, 254 nt
Filed under: uncultured bacterium
Lineage: Bacteria
Description: partial 16S ribosomal RNA
Rfam family: Bacterial small subunit ribosomal RNA
Source: RNAcentral
UACGUAGGGUGCAAGCGUUAAUCGGAAUUACUGGGCGUAAAGCGUGCGCAGGCGGUGAUGUAAGACAGGUGUGAAAUCCCCGGGCUUAACCUGGGAACUGCGUUUGAAACUACAAGGCUAGAGUGUGGCAGAGGGGGGGUGGAAUUCCACGUGUAGCAGUGAAAUGCGUAGAGAUGUGGAGGAACACCGAUGGCGAAGGCAGCCCCCUGGGUUAACACUGACGCUCAGGCACGAAAGCGUGGGGAGCAAACAGG